Molecule: long non-coding RNA, 788 nt
Organism: Branchiostoma belcheri (Belcher's lancelet)
Lineage: Eukaryota; Metazoa; Chordata; Leptocardii; Amphioxiformes; Branchiostomatidae
Exons: 3
Source: RefSeq, a predicted model, not a curated record
UGUACAAGUGUGAUUUUACUUUCUCUGUCUUCCUCUUUUGUACUAAGCUCUUCUUCCUUUUAAUGUUGUCUUUUCUAACUCUGUUGCAUGUCAUUGAUUUGAUACCCCUUCUAGUUUCUUAUUGAGAAUUAUUUUGUUUCCUCUUAACCCUUAACCCUGCUGUGAUCUCAUCCAUAUAGCAAAUGUGUACAGCACCACUCAGCACAGACAGGGUUAAGAACAGCCUGUCUCACCUAUGUUGUAUGUGAAUGUCUCUGUUUUCUCCUGUGCCCUGUUGAACUGAUAAACAGUGGACAGUGACGUAGACUACGCCACUGGCUCCAGUGUUGUGGAUGGGCCAGUGUCGGGGCAGGGCAGGUUACUACAGUCCUUUCAGGCUAGUUCUGCAUUGGAGGGAGACAUAGACAUUACCGUAGGCACCAGUGUGGUCGGUAGUUCUGCCUCUAGACCAGACAGGCCUCUGUCAUCCUUCACAAAUAGUUUUGGGAAUGAGUGUAACACAGAUGUCACCACAAAUGACUCUCUUGAAGAUGACCCUGCCCAACCUGCUCAAGAACACUCUCUGCCUUCUGUUCAAACUAAAUGUGAAGUCGGUAUGUUUAGAUGAUAUUCAGUGCAACCUUUUGACAACUUCUCUCAACAAUUUCGCUGUCAUUUCUUCUCACACAUAGUUUAAUCACAAACAUCAGAGUGCUUGGUGUUAUCUUUCUUUUCUGCUGGUCUGUCCUUUAUUUUCCUCUUCUGUCUCAUGUUUUACCUGUCUUCUCUGUCUGUGUCUGUCCCUCUCU